AGUGAACGCUGGCGGUAGGCCUAACACAUGCAAGUCGAACGGCAGCACAGUAAGAGCUUGCUCUUACGGGUGGCGAGUGGCGGACGGGUGAGGAAUACAUCGGAAUCUACUUUUUCGUGGGGGAUAACGUAGGGGAACUUCCGCUAAUACCGCAUACGACCUACGGGUGAAAGCACGGGAUCUUCGGACCUUGCGGCGUUGAAUGAGCAGAUGUCGGAUUAGCUAGUUGGCGGGGGAAAGGCACACCAAGGCGCCGAUCCGUAGGGGGUCUGAGAGGAAGGUCCCCCAGACUGGAACUGAGCACCUGUCCACACUCGUACGGGAGGCAGGAGUGAGGGAUAUUGGUGAAUGGGCGUAAGCCUGAACAAGCCAAGUAGCGUGCAGGAUGACGGCCCUAGGGGUUGUAAACUGCUUUUAUGCGAGGAUAAAGGGACCCACGGGUGGGUUUUUGAAGGUACCGCAUGAAUAAGGACCGGCUAAUUCCGUG
RNAcentral lists this ribosomal RNA (487 nucleotides) under uncultured bacterium. RNAcentral describes it as "partial 16S ribosomal RNA". It matches the Rfam family "Bacterial small subunit ribosomal RNA", at positions 29 to 507 of the family's 1533-position model. The record is from RNAcentral.